Molecule: ribosomal RNA, 247 nt
Filed under: Clostridium sp. L2-50
Lineage: Bacteria; Bacillati; Bacillota; Clostridia; Eubacteriales; Clostridiaceae
Description: small subunit ribosomal RNA
Rfam family: Bacterial small subunit ribosomal RNA
Source: RNAcentral
UUUCUCGCACUGUGGUGGAUUCCGGCCACAUUGGGACUGAGACACGGCCCAAACUCCUACGGGAGGCAGCAGUGGGGAAUAUUGCACAAUGGGGGAAACCCUGAUGCAGCGACGCCGCGUGAGUGAUGAAGUAUUUCGGUAUGUAAAGCUCUAUCAGCAGGGAAGAUAAUGACGGUACCUGACUAAGAAGCACCGGCUAAAUACGUGCCAGCAGCCGCGGUAAUACGUAUGGUGCAAGCGUUAUCCG